Molecule: ribosomal RNA, 253 nt
Filed under: uncultured bacterium
Lineage: Bacteria
Description: partial 16S ribosomal RNA
Rfam family: Bacterial small subunit ribosomal RNA
Source: RNAcentral
GACGUAGGGCGCGGGCGUUGUCCGGAUUUAUUGGGCGUAAAGAGCUCGUAGGCGGCUUGUCGCGUCGUUCGUGAAAACUUGGGGCUCAACCCCAAGCUUGCGGUCGAUACGGGCAGGCUGGAGUUCGGUAGGGGAGACUGGAAUUUACGGUGUAGCGGUGAAAUGCGUAGAUAUCGUAAGGAAGACCAGUGGCGAAGGCGGGUCUCUGGACAGUUCCUGACGCUGAGGCACGAAGGUCAGGGGAGCAAACGGG